Molecule: ribosomal RNA, 1689 nt
Filed under: Hyporhamphus meeki
Lineage: Eukaryota; Metazoa; Chordata; Actinopteri; Beloniformes; Hemiramphidae
Description: 16S ribosomal RNA
Rfam family: Bacterial large subunit ribosomal RNA
Source: RNAcentral
CGCUGAACAGCUAGCCCACCUAAUUACAUCCAUCUCACACAUAUUACUACCCCCUAAUAUACGGACCCCCAAAAAACAAACCAUUUUCCCCUUUUAGUAUGGGAGACAGAAAAAAACCAAGGCGCAAUAGAAAAAGUACCGCAAGGGAACGCUGAAAGAGAAAUGAAACAAAUCAGUAAAGCAUAAAAAAGCAGAGCCCAACCCUCGUACCUUUUGCAUCAUGAACUAGCCAGUAAUACUUAAGCAAAAUGAAUUUUAGUUUAAUUCCCCGAAACUAAGUGAGCUACUUCAAGACAGUCUAAUAGAAGGACGCACCCGUCUCUGUGGCAAAAGAGUGGGAAGAGCUUCAAGUAGUGGUGACAGACCUAUCGAACUUAGUUAUAGCUGGUUGCCUGAGAAAUGAAUAGAAGUUCAGCCCCUUUUCUUCUUCCCUCACCAUCGGCCCUUCCUACAAAACCAGAACAAAAGAAGAAAAGAGAGUUAGUCAAAGGAGGGACAGCUCCUUUGAAAAAAGAUACAACUUUAAUAGGCGGGUAAGGAUCAAAGAUAUCUAAGGCUUAAUGUCUCGGUGGGCCUAAAAGCAGCCAUCCUAAAAGAAAGCGUUAUAGCUCGAGCACUACACUUAAGCCCCCAAUUCUGACAAACCCCUCCAACCCCCCUUAACCUAUCAGGCCCUCCUACGUCAUCAUAGGAGUGAUAAUGCUAAUAUGAGUAAUAAGAGAUAUGAAUCUCUCCAAGCACAAGUGUAAAUCAGAACGGACCCCCCCACUGAAUAUUAACGGCCCCAAACCAAGAGGGUACUGGACCAGGAAAUAGAUCACUAGAAAACCUUCCAACAUUAACCGUUAUCCCCACACUGGAGUGCCCCCUGGAAAGACUAAAAGGAGAAGAAGGAACUCGGCAAACAUAUUUCAAGCCUCGCCUGUUUACCAAAAACAUCGCCUCUUGUUCAAAGCAUAAGAGGUCCCGCCUGCCCGGUGACAAAGGUUCAACGGCCGCGGUAUUUUAACCGUGCGAAGGUAGCGCAAUCACUUGUUUUUUAAAUGAAGACCUGUAUGAAUGGCUCCACGAGGGCUUAACUGUCUCCUUCUCCCAGUCAAUGAAAUUGAUCUCCCCGUGCAGAAGCGGGGAUAAGUACAUAAGACGAGAAGACCCUUUGGAGCUUUAGACGACAGGUAGACCAUGUCCCUCCCCCCAAAUAAAAGGAACAAACUUAUUGGUACCUACCCUUAUGUCUUUGGUUGGGGCGACCACGGGGAAACAAAAACCCCCCAUGUGGACUGGGAGUCGUCAUUUACUCCUAUUACCAAGACCCACAGCUCUAAGUUUCAGAACUUCUGACCAAAAAGAUCCGGCAACGCCGAUUAACGGACCAAGUUACCCUAGGGAUAACAGCGCAAUCCCCUUUUAGAGCCCAUAUCGACAAGGGGGUUUACGACCUCGAUGUUGGAUCAGGACAUCCUAAUGGCGCAGCCGCUAUUAAGGGUUCGUUUGUUCAACGAUUAAAGUCCUACGUGAUCUGAGUUCAGACCGGAGUAAUCCAGGUCAGUUUCUAUCUAUGAAAUGUUUUCUUCUAGUACGAAAGGACCGAAGAGAAGAGGCCUAUACAAAAAGCACGCCUCCCCCUUACCUAAUGAAAACAACUAAAAUAGGCAAAAGGACAUACUCUAAUGUCUUAGAAAACGACAU